UUACCGAGUUUUCGAGCUCCGGCUCGACUCUCCCACCCUUUGUGAACGUACCUCUGUUGCUUUGGCGGCUCCGGCCGCCAAAGGACCUUCAAACUCCAGUCAGUAAACGCAGACGUCUGAUAAACAAGUUAAUAAACUAAAACUUUCAACAACGGAUCUCUUGGUUCUGGCAUCGAUGAAGAACGCAGCGAAAUGCGAUAAGUAAUGUGAAUUGCAGAAUUCAGUGAAUCAUCGAAUCUUUGAACGCACAUUGCGCCCCUUGGUAUUCCGGGGGGCAUGCCUGUUCGAGCGUCAUUACAACCCUCAAGCUCUGCUUGGAAUUGGGCACCGUCCUCACUGCGGACGCGCCUCAAAGACCUCGGCGGUGGCUGUUCAGCCCUCAAGCGUAGUAGAAUACACCUCGCUUUGGAGCGGUUGGCGUCGCCCGCCGGACGAACCUUCUGAACUUUUCUCAAGGUUGACCUCGGAUCAGGUAGGGAUACCCGCUGAACUUA
This 494-nucleotide ribosomal RNA is filed under the name Lasiodiplodia theobromae. RNAcentral's name for it is "eukaryotic LSU rRNA". The stretch from base 141 to 294 matches the Rfam family "5.8S ribosomal RNA". The record is from RNAcentral. Lineage: Eukaryota; Fungi; Ascomycota; Dothideomycetes; Botryosphaeriales; Botryosphaeriaceae.